AUGCAGUCGAACGAACUUCCGUUAAUUGAUCAUGGACGUGCUUGCACUGAAUGAGAUUUUAACACGAAGUGAGUGGCGGACGGGUGAGUAACACGUGGGUAACCUGCCCAGAAGCAGGGGAUAACACCUGGAAACAGAUGCUAAUACCGUAUAACAGAGAAAACCGCCUGGUUUUCUUUUAAAAGAUGGCUCUGCUAUCACUUCUGGAUGGACCCGCGGCGCAUUAGCUAGUUGGUGAGGUAACGGCUCACCAAGGCGAUGAUGCGUAGCCGACCUGAGAGGGUAAUCGGCCACAUUGGGACUGAGACACGGCCCAGACUCCUACGGGAGGCAGCAGUAGGGAAUCUUCCACAAUGGACGCAAGUCUGAUGGAGCAACGCCGCGUGAGUGAAGAAGGGUUUCGGCUCGUAAAGCUCUGUUGUUAAAGAAGAACGUGGGUGAGAGUAACUGUUCACCCAGUGACGGUAUUUAACCAGAAAGCCACGGCUAACUACGUGCCAGCAGCCGCGGUAAUACGUAGGUGGCAAGCGUUAUCCGGAUUUAUUGGGCGUAAAGCGAGCGCAGGCGGUCUUUUAAGUCUAAUGUGAAAGCCUUCGGCUCAACCGAAGAAGUGCAUUGGAAACUGGGAGACUUGAGUGCAGAAGAGGACAGUGGAACUCCAUGUGUAGCGGUGAAAUGCGUAGAUAUAUGGAAGAACACCAGUGGCGAAGGCGGCUGUCUGGUCUGUAACUGACGCUGAGGCUCGAAAGCAUGGGUAGCGAACAGGAUUAGAUACCCUGGUAGUCCAUGCCGUAAACGAUGAUUACUAAGUGUUGGAGGGUUUCCGCCCUUCAGUGCUGCAGCUAACGCAUUAAGUAAUCCGCCUGGGGAGUACGACCGCAAGGUUGAAACUCAAAAGAAUUUGA
Molecule: ribosomal RNA, 905 nt
Filed under: Pediococcus acidilactici
Lineage: Bacteria; Bacillati; Bacillota; Bacilli; Lactobacillales; Lactobacillaceae
Description: bacterial SSU rRNA
Rfam family: Bacterial small subunit ribosomal RNA
Source: RNAcentral